This 496-nucleotide ribosomal RNA is filed under the name uncultured bacterium. RNAcentral describes it as "partial 16S ribosomal RNA". It matches the Rfam family "Bacterial small subunit ribosomal RNA", at positions 30 to 523 of the family's 1533-position model. The record is from RNAcentral.
AUUGAACGCUGGCGGAAUGCUUUACACAUGCAAGUCGAACGGUAGAGGGGGCAACCCCUCGAGAGUGGCGAACGGGUGAGUAAUAUAUCGGAACGUGCCCAGUCGUGGGGGAUAACGUAGCGAAAGUUACGCUAAUACCGCAUACGAUCUAAGGAUGAAAGCGGGGGAUCGCAAGACCUCGCGCGAUUGGAGCGGCCGAUAUCAGAUUAGGUAGUUGGUGGGGUAAAGGCUCACCAAGCCAACGAUCUGUAGCUGGUCUGAGAGGACGACCAGCCACACUGGAACUGAGACACGGUCCAGACUCCUACGGGAGGCAGCAGUGGGGAAUUUUGGACAAUGGACGCAAGUCUGAUCCAGCCAUUCCGCGUGCAGGAUGAAGGCCCUCGGGUUGUAAACUGCUUUUGUACGGAACGAAAAGGUCUCUCUUAAUACGGGGGACUCAUGACGGUACCGUAAGAAUAAGCACCGGUUAGCUACGUGCCAGCCGCCGCAGUAA